GUUUUGCGGUGAAGAAUUAGAAUCAAAUUCACAUGUUAGAGAUUUUCAAAUCAAUGAGAAUGACAAUUCUAUUACUGAGCAACUU
Glycine soja is the source of this 85-nucleotide non-coding RNA. The record is from Rfam. Lineage: Eukaryota; Viridiplantae; Streptophyta; Magnoliopsida; Fabales; Fabaceae.